UACGAAGGUCCCGAGCGUUGUUCGGAAUCACUGGGCGUAAAGGGCGCGUAGGCGGCCUAGCAAGUCAGGCGUGAAAUCCCGGGGCUUAACCCCGGAACUGCGCUUGAAACUGCAAGGCUUGAGUCUCGGAGAGGAUGGUGGAAUUCCUAGUGUAGAGGUGAAAUUCGUAGAUAUUAGGAGGAACACCGAUGGCGAAGGCAGCCAUCUGGACGAGUACUGACGCUGAGGCGCGAAAGCGUGGGGAGCAAACAGG
This 253-nucleotide ribosomal RNA is filed under the name uncultured bacterium. RNAcentral's name for it is "partial 16S ribosomal RNA". It matches the Rfam family "Bacterial small subunit ribosomal RNA", at positions 524 to 776 of the family's 1533-position model. The record is from RNAcentral.